This is a long non-coding RNA of Temnothorax curvispinosus, 273 nucleotides long. RefSeq lists it as uncharacterized. Lineage: Eukaryota; Metazoa; Arthropoda; Insecta; Hymenoptera; Formicidae. The transcript has 3 exons. The record is from RefSeq and is a predicted model, not a curated record.
UUCGCGUUUAGCGGCUCGAGAGCACGCGUUGACGAAAGCUACAUAGUUAAACGUUGCAAUAUUUAAUUAUGUAAAACAUCCGAGGCGUUAUUAGUUGCGCUUGAUUAGCUACGGAACCUAGGAUGGAGAAAUUCUGUCCGUUGUGCGCGAAGAAUGGCAUUAAGAGAAGAGUGAAGGUAUUUCAGGUCAACCUAGAAGAAGCGAUGUUCUCCUGCGAGUCGGAGCAAUGCGUCUGGCCGAUCGGUUACGAGGAAUUAAAAUUAAAAUUUAUUA